UGUUUGUAUAGUGUGUGUGUAUAUAAUGCAGUGUGUUUUUGUAUAGUGUGUGUAUAUAAUGCAGUGUGUUUGUAUAGUGUGUGUGUAUAUAAUGCAGUGUGUUUGUAUAGUGUGUGUGUAUAUAAUGCAGUGUGUUUGUAUAGUGUGUGUGUGUUUGUAUAGUGUGUAUAUAAUGCAGUGUGUUUGUAUAGUGUGUGUGUAUAUAAUUCAGUGUGUUUGUAUAGAGUGUGUGUGUAUAUAAUGCAGUGUGUUUGUAUAGAGUGUGUGUGUAUA
This is a non-coding RNA of Pelobates cultripes (western spadefoot toad), 273 nucleotides long. The record is from the annotation of a GenBank genome assembly. Lineage: Eukaryota; Metazoa; Chordata; Amphibia; Anura; Pelobatidae.